UACGAAGGGGGCUAGCGUUGUUCGGAAUCACUGGGCGUAAAGCGUAUGUAGGCGGAUAGCUAAGUCAGGGGUGAAAGCCCGAGGCUCAACCUCGGAACUGCCUUUGAUACUGGCUGUCUUGAGUCCGGGAGAGGUGAGUGGAACUCCUAGUGUAGAGGUGAAAUUCGUAGAUAUUAGGAAGAACACCAGUGGCGAAGGCGGCUCACUGGCCCGGAACUGACGCUGAAAUACGAAAGCGUGGGGAGCAAACAGG
Molecule: ribosomal RNA, 253 nt
Filed under: uncultured bacterium
Lineage: Bacteria
Description: partial 16S ribosomal RNA
Rfam family: Bacterial small subunit ribosomal RNA
Source: RNAcentral